CCUAGGGGGGCUGCAGUGGGGAAUAUUGCACAAUGGGCGCAAGCCUGAUGCAGCCAUGCCGCGUGUGUGAAGAAGGCCUUCGGGUUGUAAAGCACUUUCAGCGGGGAGGAAGGCGUUAAGGUUAAUAACCUUGGCGAUUGACGUUACCCGCAGAAGAAGCACCGGCUAACUCCGUGCCAGCAGCCGCGGUAAUACGGAGGGUGCAAGCGUUAAUCGGAAUUACUGGGCGUAAAGCGCACGCAGGCGGUCUGUCAAGUCGGAUGUGAAAUCCCCGGGCUCAACCUGGGAACUGCAUUCGAAACUGGCAGGCUAGAGUCUUGUAGAGGGGGGUAGAAUUCCAGGUGUAGCGGUGAAAUGCGUAGAGAUCUGGAGGAAUACCGGUGGCGAAGGCGGCCCCCUGGACAAAGACUGACGCUCAGGUGCGAAAGCGUGGGGAGCAAACAGGAUUAGAUACCCUAGUAGGC
Molecule: ribosomal RNA, 464 nt
Filed under: uncultured Klebsiella sp.
Lineage: Bacteria; Pseudomonadati; Pseudomonadota; Gammaproteobacteria; Enterobacterales; Enterobacteriaceae
Description: bacterial SSU rRNA
Rfam family: Bacterial small subunit ribosomal RNA
Source: RNAcentral